Oncorhynchus masou masou (cherry salmon) is the source of this 214-nucleotide long non-coding RNA. RefSeq lists it as uncharacterized. The record is from RefSeq and is a predicted model, not a curated record. The transcript is spliced from 3 exons. Lineage: Eukaryota; Metazoa; Chordata; Actinopteri; Salmoniformes; Salmonidae.
CUUCAGACCCAACCAGACCCUCCUGAAGAAAGGAGGGGCUGAGCCGCUCACAUCCCUUUCUCUAUUCAAUUACCAUUAAAGUUAAUUUACCACCUGGUGAUGUCCCCAGUCAGGCCAAAACUCCAUCCCAUCAAAACAGUUACCUUGUACCCCUGCACAUCGACUCGGUACUGGUACCCCAUGUAUAUCGGUAGGUAUUGAGUAUUUAUUAUUA